Molecule: long non-coding RNA, 401 nt
Organism: Alosa alosa (allis shad)
Lineage: Eukaryota; Metazoa; Chordata; Actinopteri; Clupeiformes; Clupeidae
Exons: 4
Source: RefSeq, a predicted model, not a curated record
UCUGUCUGUCUCUCUCUCCAGUAAGGAACAUUCAAAAUAUUUUUUCUCUCUUUCGUGUUGUUAUAUGUUAUUGACAGUAUGAUGGAGAUAUCAGUGUGUUGUACCAAGUAAUGGUGGAUCCAGCUUUGACCACUAAAAAGUGGGGAAAUAAAGAUCUUCCCUUGAGACCAGGAGAGACUAUUGAUGUCAUUGUGAAACCUCAAGAUGGCAAACUAAUCGGAAGGAACAAAGACGGAAAAUUUGGCUAUGUUUGCCUUUGCAACAUCCAACAGGAAUCUGACAUUUAUGAUGAUGUUGGAGAGGAUUGCAUUUAUGACAACUGAACAGAAACCCUGCUGAGUUUCCUAAAAUGGUUGAAAGGAUUGAAACUGAACUGAAUUGAAUUUGAACUAUUUGAACAU